RNAcentral lists this long non-coding RNA (321 nucleotides) under Ixodes scapularis (black-legged tick). Its description in RNAcentral is "uncharacterized LOC120837725, transcript variant X2". The record is from RNAcentral. Lineage: Eukaryota; Metazoa; Arthropoda; Arachnida; Ixodida; Ixodidae.
GUGUGGAUAACAGACGCGCAACUCUGACUCCCGUAGAGAGCCUAUGCAGGAACUCUAGGACAGCAUUCACCAGCUUCGGAGUGAAGCUCUGCUGCUAGCACAGAUGUCGCCAUAGUCUCGAGGCACCGUCUGGCAAGGCGAGAGGCUCUGCUUGUAGCACAGUCGCUACCAUAGUCCCGAUGCCCUUUCUGGGUAGUGAUGCCAUCAUUGUCCCGAGGCACGUUCUGGCAAGGCGAGAGGCUCUGCUUGUAGCACAGACGCUACCAUAGUCCCGAGGCUCUGUCUGGCAAGACCAGAAGCUCUGCACCUAGCAGAUGCCGC